RNAcentral lists this transfer RNA (87 nucleotides) under Arenicella chitinivorans. RNAcentral's name for it is "tRNA-Leu". It matches the Rfam family "tRNA". Rfam says of the family: Transfer RNA (tRNA) molecules are approximately 80 nucleotides in length. Their secondary structure includes four short double-helical elements and three loops (D, anti-codon, and T loops). Further hydrogen bonds mediate the characteristic L-shaped molecular structure. tRNAs have two regions of fundamental functional importance: the anti-codon, which is responsible for specific mRNA codon recognition, and the 3' end, to which the tRNAs corresponding amino acid is attached (by aminoacyl-tRNA synthetases). tRNAs cope with the degeneracy of the genetic code in two manners: having more than one tRNA (with a specific anti-codon) for a particular amino acid; and 'wobble' base-pairing, i.e. permitting non-standard base-pairing at the 3rd anti-codon position. The record is from RNAcentral. RNAcentral also lists the same sequence under 16 other names. Lineage: Bacteria; Pseudomonadati; Pseudomonadota; Gammaproteobacteria; Arenicellales; Arenicellaceae.
GCCGGGGUGGCGGAACUGGUAGACGCGCCGGAUUCAAAAUCCGGUUCCUUCACGGGAGUGUCGGUUCGAUUCCGACCCUCGGUACCA